AGAACGAACGCUGGCGGCAGGCCUAACACAUGCAAGUCGAGCGCGCAGCAAUGCGAGCGGCAGACGGGUGAGUAACGCGUGGGAACCUUCCCAAUAGUACGGAAUAGCCCAGGGAAACUUGGAGUAAUACCGUAUACGCCCGCAAGGGGAAAGAUUUAUCGCUAUUGGAUGGGCCCGCGUAGGAUUAGCUAGUUGGUGAGGUAAGCGACCUAGCCAAGGCUCCGAGUCCUUAGGCCUGGUUAGAGGAGUAGUAGACCAGCCACACUGGGACUGAGACACGGCCCAGACUCCUACGGGAGGCAGCAGUGGGGAAUCUUGGACAAUGGGCGAAAGCCUGAUCCAGCCAUGCCGCGUGAGUGAAGAAGGCCUUAGGGUUGUAAAG
This 382-nucleotide ribosomal RNA is filed under the name uncultured soil bacterium. RNAcentral's name for it is "bacterial SSU rRNA". It matches the Rfam family "Bacterial small subunit ribosomal RNA", at positions 26 to 430 of the family's 1533-position model. The record is from RNAcentral.